ACCACGAUUUGAUAUGACGAAACU
RNAcentral lists this non-coding RNA (24 nucleotides) under Arabidopsis thaliana (thale cress). Lineage: Eukaryota; Viridiplantae; Streptophyta; Magnoliopsida; Brassicales; Brassicaceae. The record is from RNAcentral.